This 675-nucleotide ribosomal RNA is filed under the name uncultured bacterium. Its description in RNAcentral is "bacterial SSU rRNA". It matches the Rfam family "Bacterial small subunit ribosomal RNA", at positions 9 to 675 of the family's 1533-position model. The record is from RNAcentral.
GAGUUUGAUCAUGGCUCAGAUUGAACGCUGGCGGGAUGCUUUACACAUGCAAGUCGAACGGCAGCAUAGAGAGCUUGCUCUCUGAUGGCGAGUGGCGAACGGGUGAGUAAUAUAUCGGAACGUGCCCAGUAAUGGGGAAUAACUAGCCGAAAGGUUAGCUAAUACCGCAUACGACCUACGGGUGAAAGCAGGGGAUCUUAGGACCUUGCGUUAUUGGAGCGGCCGAUAUCUGAUUAGCUUGUUGGUGGGGUAAAAGCCUACCAAGGCAACGAUCAGUAGCUGGUCUGAGAGGACGAUCAGCCACACUGGAACUGAGACACGGUCCAGACUCCUACGGGAGGCAGCAGUGGGGAAUUUUGGACAAUGGGGGAAACCCUGAUCCAGCCAUCCCGCGUGAGUGAAGAAGGCCUUCGGGUUGUAAAGCUCUUUCGAAAGUGAAGAAAACUUAUUUCAUAAUAUGUUAUGAGUAUGACGGUAACUUUAGAAGAAGCACCGGCUAACUACGUGCCAGCAGCCGCGGUAAUACGUAGGGUGCGAGCGUUAAUCGGAAUUACUGGGCGUAAAGCGUGCGCAGGCGGUUUUGUAAGUCAGAUGUGAAAUCCCCGAGCUUAACUUGGGAACUGCGUUUGAAACUACAAGACUAGAGUGUGUCAGAGGGGGGUAGAAUUCCACGUG